This 245-nucleotide long non-coding RNA is filed under the name Elaeis guineensis (African oil palm). RNAcentral describes it as "long non-coding RNA (EGUI_LNC046524)". The record is from RNAcentral. Lineage: Eukaryota; Viridiplantae; Streptophyta; Magnoliopsida; Arecales; Arecaceae.
UACCUGUGUUGAUAUUUAUCUAUAUGAGAGAGAUAGUAGGGAGAGUGAAGACCUACCUACCUUAUGGUAAGGCAUUGACACUAGUCUUUCAAGAGUUCAGGAUACCUCACGAGAAAGUGACUGUAAGAGCUCUAAUGUACUCUGAUACCUACAACGAGCAGUUGCUACAUCGAAAGGGCUACUGCAAGUUGCAGGAGAGAUGGGUCAGGAGGAUCUUUGAAUAAGAGAGAUAAAGAGAGAAGGCU